CACCUCUAGCAUUUCAAAUAUUAGAGGCAUUGCCUGCCCAGUGACUAAAGUUAAACGGCCGCGGUAUCCUGACCGUGCAAAGGUAGCAUAAUCACUUGUUCCUUAAUUAGGGACUCGUAUGAACGGCUAAACGAGGGUCCAACUGUCUCUUAUUUUUAAUCAGUGAAAUUGACCUUCCAGUGAAGAGGCUGGAAUAACCCAAUAAGACGAGAAGACCCUAUGGAGCUUAAAUUAAUAAACUUACUUAAAUCUCACUACACCUAAUGGCACAAAAAUAAUAUUUUAAAUUUUAAAUUUUGGUUGGGGUGACCUCGGAGAAUAAAAAAUCCUCCGAAAGAAUUAUAACUUAGACCAACAAGUCAAUGUAACCUUAAUUCCAAUUGACCCAAAAAAUUUGACCAACGGACCAAGUUACCCUAGGGAUAACAGCGCAAUCCUAUUUAAGAGUCCAUAUCGACAAUAGGGUUUACGACCUCGAUGUUGGAUCAGGACAUCCCAAUGGUGCAGAAACUAUUAAUGGUUCGUUUGUUCAACGAUUAAAGUCC
RNAcentral lists this ribosomal RNA (545 nucleotides) under Mastomys erythroleucus (Guinea multimammate mouse). Its description in RNAcentral is "partial 16S ribosomal RNA". It matches the Rfam family "Bacterial large subunit ribosomal RNA", at positions 1816 to 2596 of the family's 2925-position model. Lineage: Eukaryota; Metazoa; Chordata; Mammalia; Rodentia; Muridae. The record is from RNAcentral.